Molecule: RNA transcript, 1801 nt
Organism: Cyprinus carpio (common carp)
Lineage: Eukaryota; Metazoa; Chordata; Actinopteri; Cypriniformes; Cyprinidae
Gene name: E3 ubiquitin-protein ligase RAD18-like
Source: RefSeq, a predicted model, not a curated record
UCAACCGGAAGUGACGCUAUUGUAGGAAGUGUUUAGCGAUGCGCGGGAGUUUAUUAUUGCUAUAAAGUUGGAGUUGUAUUAAUGUUUCUCUUUCAUUUAAAUAAAUAACAUUUCAGCGAUUUGCAGAAUGGCUCAGUUAAACGAAGUGGACUUACCGCCGAACCUGUCAUGUCUCAAAAGCAUAGACACUCUCCUUCGUUGUCCUAUCUGCUUUGAUUUUCUCAACAUCACCAUGAUGACCAAGUGUUCUCACAAUUUUUGUUCUCUGUGCAUACGGAAGUUUCUCUCCUAUAAGUUGUUGUGUCCUGUUUGUAACUUGCCAUCAACAGAACAAGACCUGAGGAACAACAGAUUAAUAGAUGACUUAGUUCAGAGCUUCCAAGCAGCAAGGCAAAACUUGUGUCACUCAAAUUUGGAAUCACCCCCUAUUUCACCUGAAACCCCGGCUAUGAUGAUCAAAGGCAAAGCAGCAAGACAGAAGGGCCUCAAAAGGGAAGCAAAAACCCUCAGUCAUUUUUUCCAGAAGAAGACCCCUGUGACUUCCUCAUUACGGACCCAAACAAGUCUUGAGGUUCACAUGCCAGUCAAAUUGGAACGUGUUGAGGUGUGUAUUCAACAGCUAGACAACAUCAAGCAAGAAAAUGUGGACGAUACAAGGGGAAUGGUGAAAGACGAAAAGAUGGAUGUAACUGCUUUCCCCUCCACGUCACAAAAUAAGCUGCUGGUUAAAGUGGAAUGUCCUGUCUGUGGAGUAGGUGUGUCCGAACAGCACAUUAAUAAACAUCUGGAUAUGUGCUUGAGCAGAGACGAUAAGAAGGAGGGGUUGAGAAGUGGUGGAAGGCGAAAGGGGAUGCCCAAGCUCUUGUACACUUUGAUUUCUGUUCCAAAGCUCAAGAAGAUGCUUAAAGAAUGCCACCUGUCCGCUCAAGGCAGCAGAGAACAGCUAGUGCGACGCCACCAGGAAUUCACCCAGAUUUAUAAUGCACAGUGUGAUGCACUCAACCCCAAAUCAGCUGGAGAAAUUGCCAAAGAAGUUGAAAACAACGAGAGGUUGAAGAAUCAGUUGGAGAAUAAACGAAAACCUUUAAUUGUCACAACGAAGAAUCAGGCAGCUGAAGAAAUUGAGGAGUUACACUCAAAGUACCAGUGUCUUCAGCGUCAGAAUGACUUAUGCAAGAAGAGAAGCAGAUCAGAUACAGCUGGGAAGCAGCACAGUAGCGAAUUUUCCCGUUUGAUUGCCCAGGUCAGAGGUCGUCUGGAGACAUCCAAGAGAGCACCGAGCAAACAAGAAGAGAAGUCUACAGAGGAGACAGACUCCAAAGGUGCACCAAGCAGUAUUCAGAACACUCCCCAGCCUCUCAUUUCUACAAUGCUGAAAGUAAAGAGUGAGGAGAUGGAGGGGGUAAUUGAGCUUCCAACAAGAUCAUCAAGCCCUACAAUUACUGAAGUGUCAGACAGCAGCUCCAUCUCAGAUAUUUUCUGUUGAUGACAUGGCAGCAGCUACUCAGAGUAACACUUCCCUGAAGCAGUGGCUGUGACAUCUAUACACAGCGAGUGAAUUCUCCUCUGCAGAAGUCCAGAGCAGCCGGUUACAGAGAGGUCUCGACUCUCAUAGAGAAGAUGUUUGAAGACCCUGUGAAGAGACAUCCCCAGUUCAUUAAGUGACGAGUAUCAGUUUCGAGGUUUUUCUGAGCUGAAUGUGUGGUCUAAAUGUCUGAUCCAAUUUCCACCAUAUUAUGUACAGUAAUUUUUUUUUAUCAUUUCAGUAUUAUGUUUCCUCCAAUAAAACAGAAAAAAACAA